RNAcentral lists this ribosomal RNA (201 nucleotides) under uncultured bacterium. Its description in RNAcentral is "partial 16S ribosomal RNA". It matches the Rfam family "Bacterial small subunit ribosomal RNA", at positions 1300 to 1500 of the family's 1533-position model. The record is from RNAcentral.
GAAGGCUGAAAUUCGCCUUCAUGAAGCUGGAAUUGCUAGUAAUGGCAGGUCAGCAUGCUGCGGUGAAUACGUUCCCGGGCCUUGUACACACCGCCCGUCACACCAUGGGAGUCGGUAACACCCAAAGUUGGUAGCCUAACCGCAAGGAGGGCGCCGCCUAAGGUGGGAUUGAUGACUGGGGUGAAGUCGUAACAAGGUAUC